UACGAAGGGGGCGAGCGUUGUUCGGAUUUACUGGGCGUAAAGGGCGCGUAGGCGGCCCGUUUUGUCAGGCGUGAAAGCCCUGGGCUCAACCUGGGAACUGCGCUUGGGACGGAUGGGCUUGAGAUCGGGAGAGGAGAGUGGAAUUCCCAGUGUAGAGGUGAAAUUCGUAGAUAUUGGGAGGAACACCUGUGGCGAAAGCGGCUCACUGGACCAUAACUGACGCUGAUGCACGAAAGCUGGGGGAGCAAACAGG
Molecule: ribosomal RNA, 253 nt
Filed under: uncultured bacterium
Lineage: Bacteria
Description: partial 16S ribosomal RNA
Rfam family: Bacterial small subunit ribosomal RNA
Source: RNAcentral